CCUCCUCCUGGACCUCCUUCUCAUCUUCUUCUAAUCUUCUUCGCUGCCAAAUCUUUACUCCCGCGCACAGUAAGCCUUACUCGCUCUGAAAAAUAUGAAACCUCGCGCAUUACUGGAAAGCAGUCUCUCAAUUUCACAUUCUCCAUAUCUUCAAUCUCGUAUCAGAAGGUCUCUCCCUCUCGCAAAGUCUCCAUCAACACUCGCAUUUCUCCAACGAACCAGCCGUAUUCACUUCAGUCCUCUUCGUCCUCAUUCUCUAGUUUUAAAUCCUGAAUUCAAGGUUGUAGAAGCAGUGAGAUUUGAUGGUCCGAUAAUGAAUAUUGGGGUUGAGGAUUGUGAAUUGGUUAUAGAGACUUGCAUUACACGGACUUUGCCGCCGGCAUUGACGCUGGAGUUUGGUCUUCGGAGUAUUAGAGAGGCUGUGGAGGAAUUGAAGUUGAAUCCUCCUCCUUCUAGCAGUGGAGUUUUGAGAUUUCAGGUUGCUGUGCCUCCUAGUCCAAAAGCUUUGAAUUGGUUCUGUUGUCAACCAGAGGCGUCUGGAGUGUUUCCUCGAUUUUUCCUUUCUAAGGAGAUGGAGAAUCCAUCAUGUAAAUCUCUUUAUCAUAACAGAACCCGUGGAGUUUUUGGAAUUGGAGCUGCAAUUUACUUUAUGAAGUCCUCUUGUCUUACAUCAGGGGAGCAUGGCUGUACAAAAAGAUAUGUCUCAAGUGAUUCUAUCCAUAUAUCAACCUAUGGUUUUGUGAAUAUUAAAUUUGAUGCCAUGUCAUCAUCAAUUAAGCAUGAGGCUGGUUCUUAUUAUCUUGUAAUUCCUGAGAUUGAGUUAGAUGAGUAUGAGGAUGCCUCCAUUCUAUCAGCAACACUGGCAUGGGAUGAUGCUUUCUCUGAUACAUUUAAACAGACAAUUCAAUCUUUUGAGUCAUCUAUUAACCAGGUCAGUUAUCAUCUUUGGCCAACUGGAGAGAGAUGCUGUUUUGACUGCAUUAAAUCCUCUCUCAAUAAGAUCAAUGUGGUGGAGGAUAAAAAUUUUCAAAUGGUUUCUUCAAAUGCUCUGUUGUUGGAUGCAAGGGAUUACGAAGCUGACCUCUUGGAACUGAGAGGGACCACAUUUAUCUCUCAGUUUUAUUUUGGGCUUUCACCAACCUUUGGUGUUUCCAGUAACAUGUUGGAUCAUGCCCAUGAAACAAGUUUCUCCCUUCAAGAUUGUGCAAACAUCAAUGCAGUUUGGGCAUCACUUAUAGUGGAAGAAUGUUCUCGGAUUGGGUUAACGUACUUCUGCAUUGCUCCAGGAUCAAGAUCAUCGCCUCUUGCGAUUGCUGCUUCUACUCAUCCCCUAACAACGUGCAUUGCUUGCUUUGAUGAGCGUUCACUUGCAUUUCAUGCUGUUGGGUAUGCCAGAGGUUCUCAUAAACCAGCAGUUGUCAUAACAUCGUCAGGAACUGCAGUUUCAAAUCUUCUUCCUGCUGUUGUGGAAGCCAGUCAAGAUUUUGUGCCACUUCUGUUGCUCACUGCAGAUCGCCCUCCUGAGCUUCAAAAUGUUGGGGCAAACCAAUCGAUCAAUCAGGUGGAGCAUUUUGGUUCUUUUGUGAGGUUCUUCUUCAGUUUUCCUGCACCUACUGAUAAUAUUCCUGCGCGGAUGGUUCUCACCUCACUUGACUCUGCUGUACAUUGGGCAACCUCUUCACCAUAUGGCCCUGUUCAUAUUAACUGUCCUUUUAGAGAGCCACUGGAUGGUAGUCCGAAAAGAUGGAGUUUGAGCUGUCUCAAGGGAUUAGAUAAUUGGAUGUCUAGUGCUGAGCCAUUCACAAAGUAUAUUCAAAUGCAAAAUUCACUUGCAUGUUAUGGCGAAAUGCACAUCCCUAUGGCACAAGUUCUUGAAAUAAUUCAAGGGGCCAAAAGGGGUCUUCUUCUUGUCGGUGCAAUUCAUACAGAAGAGGACAUAUGGGCAGCUCUUCUCUUGGGGAGACAUCUCAACUGGCCAGUCGUAGCAGACAUCUUGUCAGGUUUACGAUUGAGGAAGUUCUUGUCUUAUUUUCCUGAAGUUGAAGAGAAUGUUUUAUUUCUUGAUCAUCUGGACCAUGUUUUGCUCUCGGAUUUUGUGAGGGGUUGCGUGAUGUUUGAUGUAGUUAUUCAGAUUGGAGGUCGAAUAACAAGCAAACGUAUUUGUCAGAUGCUGGAGGACUGCUAUCCGUGCUCAUACAUCUUAGUUGACAACCACCCUUGUCGUCAUGAUCCAUCACAUUUGGUAACUCACAGGGUGCAGUGCUCCAUUCUUCAAUUUGUUGACAGUAUAAUAAAAGCUCAACAUCCUUCUAGGAGCAGCAAAUGGUGUAGUUAUCUGAAAGCUUUGGACGAUAUGGUUGCACGGAACAUAUCAUUUCAAAUUUAUGCAGAGAGCUCCUUGACCGAGCCACAUGUUGCACAUGUAAUUUCGAAAGCACUUUCAUCUGAGUCUGCUCUUUUUAUUGGCAACAGCAUGGCAAUACGUGAUGCUGAUAUGUAUGGAUGUAGUCAUGAAAACCAUACUUCUAGCAUUGUGGGGAAGGUUUUGAACUCAGAACUUCAGUGUCUUGGAAUUAGUGUGGCUGCAAAUAGGGGAGCUAGUGGUAUUGAUGGUUUGCUCAGUACAGCAAUUGGUUUUGCAGUUGGAUGCAAAAAAAGAGUACUUUGUGUGAUUGGAGAUGUGUCUUUCCUUCAUGAUACAAAUGGCUUAUCAAUUUUGAAGGCAAGGAUUUCAAGGAAGCCAAUGACAAUACUUGUGAUAAACAAUCAUGGUGGAGCAAUCUUCAGUCUGCUUCCUAUUGCAGAUGGAACUGAUCAGAGAAUCCUGAAUCAGUAUUUCUACACUUCCCACAACAUUUCAAUUCACCAGCUGUGUAUGGCACACAGUGUGAGAUAUGUACACGUGAAGACAAAAAUGGAACUUCAAGAUGCUUUACACACAUCUCAAUAUGAGAAUGUGGAUUAUGUCAUUGAAGUGGAGAGCUGCAUUAGUGCCAAUUCAACUUUCCACAGCAUAUUAAAGAAAUCUGCAUGCCAAGCAGCAGAUCAGGCUUUAAGCAUUCUUUCAAGGCUUUCAGUUCCAUCUUCCCUUGCAGAUGGGUUGUUUGUAAGCGAGAUUCUCAAAAUGGAGUACUCGCUGUACAGAAUUCAACUGUGCGCUGCGCCUACUUUAACUUCAGUAGCUUCUGAUUGUAAUAAAUUUCAUAAGGAAGGAUAUAUUCUAUCAUUGUUUCUUGAAGAUGGAAGCAUUGGGUAUGGUGAGGUUGCACCUGUUGAUAUGAAUAAAGAAAGCUUGAUGGAUGUAGAAGAGCAACUUCAGUUUCUCAUUCAUGUGAUCCAAGGAACCAAGCUUAGUUUUUCCCUUCCUCUACUAAAGGGAUCAUUUUCCUCUUGGAUAUGGAACAAUUUAGGAAUCCCGGAAUAUUCAAUCUUUCCUAGCGUCAGAUGUGGUUUAGAAAUGGCUAUCUUGAAUGCUAUAGCAGAAAGACAAGGCUCCAGUUUACUGAACAUGAUUCAACCCCAGAGAGAGGAAGAAAAAACUAAUGAAAAGUCAAGGGUUAAGAUAUGCGGCCUUAUUGACUCUAACGGGACGCCUGCUGAGGUUGCUCAUAUUGCUUACUCUCUUGUUGAAGAAGGAUUUUCUGCAUUAAAGCUAAAAGUUGCACGACGAGCAGAUCCCAUUCAAGAUGCUGCAGUUAUACAAGAAGUGAGAAAAAAGGUGGGUCAGCAGAUUCAACUCCGUGUGGAUGCCAACAGAAAGUGGUCCUAUGAAGAAGCUAUUCAGUUUAGCUCUCUGGUGAAAGAUUGUGACCUUCAGUAUAUUGAGGAGCCUGUUCAGGAUGAAGAUGAUAUUGUAAAGUACUGUGAAGAAAGUGGCUUACCUGUUGCACUUGAUGAAACUAUUGACAAAUUUUGUGAAAAUCCUCUUGGUAUGCUUGUGAAAUAUGCUCACUCUGGAAUAGUUGCUGUGGUUAUCAAACCAAGUGUGGUUGGUGGGUUUGAACGAGCAGCAUUCAUUGCACAAUGGGCCCAUCAGCAAGGGAAGAUGGCUGUUGUUAGUGCUGCAUUUGAAAGUGGCUUGGGCUUGUCAGCUUACAUUCAGUUCUCCUAUUACCUAGAGCUGCAGAGUGCAGAUCUUUGCAGAGUUAUGAACUAUAAAUUGUGGCCAUCUGUAGCCCAUGGUCUUGGUACAUAUAAAUGGCUGAAAGAAGAUGUAACGACUAAACCUUUGGGGAUUCAUCCUGAUCCAUGUAGUGGCUUUGUGGGAGCAUCUGUUGCCGAUGCUAUUCAACUCCUGCAGAAGUUUCAAGUCAACCACAAUGUUAUUCAAAGGACUUUUACUGGGGAGCAAGUAUAUAGAUACCAUUUGGCUGUGAAUUUGAAGGAUUUUUCCAGCUCCAUCAAAGUGUAUGAGGUUGGACAAAAAGAGAAUGAUAAUGUUGUUCUUUUUCUUCAUGGCUUUCUUGGAACUGGUGAAGACUGGGUCCCUAUCAUGAAGGCCAUCUCAGGAUCUGCAAGAUGCAUUUCAAUUGAUCUUCCUGGCCAUGGGGGAUCAAAUAUACAAAAUUGCGGUGGUACAGAAGCCAAACAGGAAGUAACUUUGUCAGUUGAAAUUAUUGCAGAUGUAUUGUAUAAGUUGAUACAAGAGAUAACUCCUAGAAAGGUCACCCUUGUUGGAUAUUCAAUGGGAGGAAGGAUAGCACUGCAUAUGGCGCUUAGGCAUCAGGAUAAGAUCAAUGGAGCUGUUAUAAUAUCUGGUAGCCCUGGAAUAGAAGAUGGAAUGGCAAGAAAAAUUCGUUGGGUUAAAGAUGUUUCUAGAUCUCGCUUACUCAUCGAUUAUGGGCUACAAACCUUUCUAGAUGCCUGGUAUGCUGGGGAGCUCUGGGACAGCUUGAGAAGCCAUCCUCGUUUUAAGGAAAUAGUUUCCAGCCGCUUGUUGCAUGAUGAUAUUCACUAUCUUGCAAAAGCUCUAUCUGAUCUGAGCAUUGGUAGACAGAUGCCAUUGUGGGAAGAGUUGAAGCAAAGUGAUAUACCUCUUUUGCUCAUUGUUGGAGAGAGAGAUGGGAAGUUCAAGGCAAUUGCCCGAAAAAUUUGCAAUGAAAUUGGUCAAUAUAGAAAGUGCAGUAAUGACACGGGGAACAAUAUUUUAGGGACAGUUGAGGUUCCCAACUGUGGGCAUGCUGUCCAUUUGGAGGAUCCUCUCCAUGUUAUUAGAUCUAUAAGACAAUUCCUAACCAGACUUGGGAAGUGUUCCAUUUCAAAGCUCAGUGAAGAGAAGCUCUAAUCCAUUACUGUUUCAGGUGUUGAAGAUUUCAACAAACAACCAAUUUUGCAGUAAGGUUGGUUGUUGACUAUUCAUUUUGUUAAAGAAUGUCCAUUUGAUAGUGGAAUCCAACACUUAAACCAUAUGUUGAUCUUUCAGAAGUAGAAAGGUAUGUUGGAGUGGUGACUGGAGCAAAUGUCUUGUGUUCUGAUUGAAAUUCAAUGCCAGUGCUAUGCCAACAGCGUUGCUGUGUCUUCUUAUCACGAGGUAGGUGCAGAUGUGCUCUUUCUAUAUGUUUUUUUUCCUGGAAGGGAUAUUUACUGAGAGCAACAAUUACAGUGUUCGUGUCAUUCAGUAAUAGUAUGGAUGUUGUUAAUGGUAAAAUAAUAACUUGCACACAUGACGUAAUCUCAUGCCUUGAGAAGGUGAUUGAACAUUAAUAUAGAGAUUAAAUUGCAAUAUAUGAUAAGGUACAGACGUUCACACAUAUAGGCGUGCUGUCAAUUAUGAAGUAAAAAUAGGAUAGGUUGUUGGAUAAAGAAAAAGGAAAGUUGUACACUAGCAUAGCACUUCUUUGUAAAAUUCUCCGCAUGUGCUCGACUUGCAGAAUGCAGAUGUUGAUUGGUAAAGUUUA
This is a non-coding RNA of Jatropha curcas, 5897 nucleotides long. NCBI's taxonomy places the organism in Eukaryota, Viridiplantae, Streptophyta, Magnoliopsida, Malpighiales, Euphorbiaceae. The record is from RefSeq and is a predicted model, not a curated record.